AUAAUGGGUCAGCGACUUAUAUUCUGUAGCAAGGUUAACCGAAUAGGGGAGCCGAAGGGAAACCGAGUCUUAACUGGGCGUUAAGUUGCAGGGUAUAGACCCGAAACCCGGUGAUCUAGCCAUGGGCAGGUUGAAGGUUGGGUAACACUAACUGGAGGACCGAACCGACUAAUGUUGAAAAAUUAGCGGAUGACUUGUGGCUGGGGGUGAAAGGCCAAUCAAACCGGGAGAUAGCUGGUUCUCCCCGAAAGCUAUUUAGGUAGCGCCUCGUGAAUUCAUCUCCGGGGGUAGAGCACUGUUUCGGCAAGGGGGUCAUCCCGACUUACCAACCCGAUGCAAACUGCGAAUACCGGAGAAUGUUAUCACGGGAGACACACGGCGGGUGCUAACGUCCGUCGUGAAGAGGGAAACAACCCAGACCGCCAGCUAAGGUCCCAAAGUCAUGGUUAAGUGGGAAACGAUGUGGGAAGGCCCAGACAGCCAGGAUGUUGGCUUAGAAGCAGCCAUCAUUUAAAGAAAGCGUAAUAGCUCACUGGUCGAGUCGGCCUGCGCGGAAGAUGUAACGGGGCUAAACCAUGCACCGAAGCUGCGGCAGCGACGCUUAU
RNAcentral lists this ribosomal RNA (605 nucleotides) under Escherichia coli. RNAcentral's name for it is "partial 23S ribosomal RNA". It matches the Rfam family "Bacterial large subunit ribosomal RNA", at positions 612 to 1218 of the family's 2925-position model. Lineage: Bacteria; Pseudomonadati; Pseudomonadota; Gammaproteobacteria; Enterobacterales; Enterobacteriaceae. The record is from RNAcentral.